GAUGAACGCUGGCGGCGUGCCUAAUACAUGCAAGUCGAGCGAACGGACGAGAAGCUUGCUUCUCUGAUGUUAGCGGCGGACGGGUGAGUAACACGUGGAUAACCUACCUAUAAGACUGGGAUAACUUCGGGAAACCGGAGCUAAUACCGGAUAAUAUUUUGAACCGCAUGGUUCAAAAGUGAAAGACGGUCUUGCUGUCACUUAUAGAUGGAUCCGCGCUGCAUUAGCUAGUUGGUAAGGUAACGGCUUACCAAGGCAACGAUGCAUAGCCGACGUGAGAGGGGGAUCGGCCACACUGGAACUGAGACACGGUCCAGACUCCUACGGGAGGCAGCAGUAGGGAAUCUGCCGCAAUGGGCGAAAGCCUGACGGAGCAACGCCGCGUGAGUGAUGAAGGUCUUCGGAUCGUAAAACUCUGUUAUUAGGGAAGAACAUAUGUGUAAGGAACUGUGCACAUCUUGACGGUACCUAAUCAGAAAGCCACGGCUAACUACGUG
RNAcentral lists this ribosomal RNA (497 nucleotides) under uncultured bacterium. RNAcentral's name for it is "partial 16S ribosomal RNA". It matches the Rfam family "Bacterial small subunit ribosomal RNA", at positions 28 to 507 of the family's 1533-position model. The record is from RNAcentral.